AACGAACGCUGGUGGCGUGCUUAACACAUGCAAGUCGAACGAGAAAAUUUCCUUCGGGGAACUAGUAAAGUGGCGCAAGGGUGAGUAACACGUGAAUAAUCUGCCCUCGAGAUCGGGAUAACAUGGUGAAAACUAUGCUAAUACCGGAUAAGACCACAUUUCAAAAAGAAAUGCGGGAAAAGGAGUCUCAACCUUCACUCGAGGAUGAGUUCGCGCAACAUUAGCUUGUUGGUGAGAUAAAAGCUCACCAAGGCUACGAUGUUUAGCCGGCCUGAGAGGGUGAUCGGCCACACUGGAACUGAGACACGGUCCAGACUCCUACGGGAGGCAGCAGUGGGGAAUAUUGCGCAAUGGGCGAAAGCCUGACGCAGCAACGCCGUGUGAGCGAUG
RNAcentral lists this ribosomal RNA (390 nucleotides) under uncultured Nitrospina sp. Its description in RNAcentral is "bacterial SSU rRNA". It matches the Rfam family "Bacterial small subunit ribosomal RNA", at positions 29 to 410 of the family's 1533-position model. Lineage: Bacteria; Pseudomonadati; Nitrospinota; Nitrospinia; Nitrospinales; Nitrospinaceae. The record is from RNAcentral.